UGGGGAAUAUUGGACAAUGGGGGAAACCCUGAUCCAGCAAUGCCGCGUGAGUGAAGAAGGCCUUAGGGUUGUAAAGCUCUUUCGCCCGCGAAGAUAAUAACGGUAGCGGGAGAAGAAGCCCCGGCUAACUCCGUGCCAGCAGCCGCGGUAAUACGGAGGGGGCUAGCGUUGUUCGGAAUUACUGGGCGUAAAGCGUGCGCAGGCGGUUUUGUAAGACAGAUGUGAAAUCCCCGGGCUUAACCUGGGAACUGCGUUUGUGACUGCAAGGCUGGAGUACGGCAGAGGGGGGUGGAAUUCCACGUGUACCAGUGAAAUGCGUAGAGAUGUGGAGGAACACCGAUGGCGAAGGCAGCCCCCUGGGCCUGUACUGACGCUCAUGCACGAAAGCGUGGGGAGCAAACA
RNAcentral lists this ribosomal RNA (402 nucleotides) under uncultured bacterium. Its description in RNAcentral is "bacterial SSU rRNA". It matches the Rfam family "Bacterial small subunit ribosomal RNA", at positions 355 to 774 of the family's 1533-position model. The record is from RNAcentral.